UACAGGGGGGGCAAGCGUUGUUCGGAAUUACUGGGCGUAAAGGGCGCGUAGGCGGCGUGGUAAGUCACUUGUGAAAUCUCUGAGCUUAACUCAGAACGGCCAAGUGAUACUGCUGUGCUAGAGUGCAGAAGGGGCAAUCGGAAUUCUUGGUGUAGCGGUGAAAUGCGUAGAUAUCAAGAGGAACACCUGAGGUGAAGACGGGUUGCUGGGCUGACACUGACGCUGAGGCGCGAAAGCCAGGGGAGCAAACGGG
RNAcentral lists this ribosomal RNA (253 nucleotides) under uncultured bacterium. Its description in RNAcentral is "partial 16S ribosomal RNA". It matches the Rfam family "Bacterial small subunit ribosomal RNA", at positions 524 to 776 of the family's 1533-position model. The record is from RNAcentral.